UACGUAGGGUGCGAGCGUUGUCCGGAAUUACUGGGCGUAAAGAGCUCGUAGGUGGUUUGUCGCGUUGUUCGUGAAAACCGGGGGCUUAACCCUCGGCGUGCGGGCGAUACGGGCAGACUUGAGUACUGCAGGGGAGACUGGAAUUCCUGGUGUAGCGGUGGAAUGCGCAGAUAUCAGGAAGAACACCCGUGGCGAAAGCGGCUCUCUGGGACGGUACUGACGCUGAGACGCGAAAGCGUGGGGAGCGAACAGG
RNAcentral lists this ribosomal RNA (253 nucleotides) under uncultured bacterium. RNAcentral's name for it is "partial 16S ribosomal RNA". It matches the Rfam family "Bacterial small subunit ribosomal RNA", at positions 524 to 776 of the family's 1533-position model. The record is from RNAcentral.